GCAAACUUGGUCAUUUAGAGGAAGUAAAAGUCGUAACAAGGUCUCCGUUGGUGAACCAGCGGAGGGAUCAUUACUGAGUGUUAAAACUCCCAAACCCUUUGUGAACACUACCAUUCGUUGCUUCGGCGGGAUCGCCCCGGCGCCUCUGUGCGCCGGAUCCAGGCGCCUGCCGGGGGCCCGAAACUCUUGUUUUGUCAGUGGUAUUUUCUCUGAGUGGCAUAAGCAAAUAAAUCAAAACUUUCAACAACGGAUCUCUUGGUUCUGGCAUCGAUGAAGAACGCAGC
RNAcentral lists this unclassified non-coding RNA (284 nucleotides) under uncultured fungus. Its description in RNAcentral is "partial contains small subunit ribosomal RNA, internal transcribed spacer 1, and 5.8S ribosomal RNA". The stretch from base 1 to 73 matches the Rfam family "Eukaryotic small subunit ribosomal RNA", at positions 1759 to 1831 of the family's 1831-position model. The record is from RNAcentral. Lineage: Eukaryota; Fungi.